RNAcentral lists this ribosomal RNA (791 nucleotides) under Streptomyces sp. D197. Its description in RNAcentral is "bacterial SSU rRNA". It matches the Rfam family "Bacterial small subunit ribosomal RNA", at positions 42 to 850 of the family's 1533-position model. Lineage: Bacteria; Bacillati; Actinomycetota; Actinomycetes; Kitasatosporales; Streptomycetaceae. The record is from RNAcentral.
GCGGCGCUACACAUGCAGUCGAACGAUGAAGCCUUUCGGGGUGGAUUAGUGGCGAACGGGUGAGUAACACGUGGGCAAUCUGCCCUUCACUCUGGGACAAGCCCUGGAAACGGGGUCUAAUACCGGAUAACACUCUGUCCCGCAUGGGACGGGGUUAAAAGCUCCGGCGGUGAAGGAUGAGCCCGCGGCCUAUCAGCUUGUUGGUGGGGUAAUGGCCUACCAAGGCGACGACGGGUAGCCGGCCUGAGAGGGCGACCGGCCACACUGGGACUGAGACACGGCCCAGACUCCUACGGGAGGCAGCAGUGGGGAAUAUUGCACAAUGGGCGAAAGCCUGAUGCAGCGACGCCGCGUGAGGGAUGACGGCCUUCGGGUUGUAAACCUCUUUCAGCAGGGAAGAAGCGAGAGUGACGGUACCUGCAGAAGAAGCGCCGGCUAACUACGUGCCAGCAGCCGCGGUAAUACGUAGGGCGCAAGCGUUGUCCGGAAUUAUUGGGCGUAAAGAGCUCGUAGGCGGCUUGUCACGUCGGAUGUGAAAGCCCGGGGCUUAACCCCGGGUCUGCAUUCGAUACGGGCUAGCUAGAGUGUGGUAGGGGAGAUCGGAAUUCCUGGUGUAGCGGUGAAAUGCGCAGAUAUCAGGAGGAACACCGGUGGCGAAGGCGGAUCUCUGGGCCAUUACUGACGCUGAGGAGCGAAAGCGUGGGGAGCGAACAGGAUUAGAUACCCUGGUAGUCCACGCCGUAAACGUUGGGAACUAGGUGUUGGCGACAUUCCACGUCGUCGGUGCCGCA